Molecule: unclassified non-coding RNA, 1885 nt
Filed under: Hevea brasiliensis (rubber tree)
Lineage: Eukaryota; Viridiplantae; Streptophyta; Magnoliopsida; Malpighiales; Euphorbiaceae
Source: RNAcentral
GUAGGUCCAACCAUAAUUUUAUAUAAUAUUGCAUAUAUAAAUUGAUUGAGUGUAUUAUACAUUCGGAUACAAUAAGACUCAUUUCUCAUGUUUCUCUCAUGACAACGGAUAAGCAAUUGAUCAAUAUUUAAAAAACAAAACAUAACAUAACAUAAGAACCAGUAAAAUUGUCAAUCAUUUUGGAAGUCAAGUAAUUCACAGCAAACCACCAAAAUAAGGCACACCAGUCGCCGGCAACCAGAAAUCUCCCAGUGUGAAGUUGGAUACAGUGAAGUUCGUCGCAUCGGUAGCAUUAAUCAAAUGAUAACCAGGCCAUGUAACCCUAUUAGUAGGAUCUGAUCCUGGACCAGUGUUAUCAAAUUCUGCAUAAUAAAGUGUAGCAAGUGCAAAAUCUCCUGACCAUGGAGCCCAACCAGAAGGAUCAAUUAGACUAUCUAUGAAAGAUUGCAUCACAACUGUUCUUGAAUACUCCUUCCAUGGCCUCCCUAAGUAAGACUUUGUAGUGCCAUUGCUUGAGGCCAAGUCCUCAGCUGCCAAUAUACUACAAUUUUGUAUUGAAGUGCCCGUGUUUUGGUUAGGGUCAGUUCUGCCCUGUGCAGUUACGGUGUUGAACUGGCCAUUCAAGGGUAGUCUUGAAUAAAUCUUGCAGUUCUGGAAAACAACAACGGCGUUACCGAAUAUGUAAUCUAUGGUGCCAUAUAUUUCACAGUCCCUGUAGAAUUGCCUGAGAGAAUGAGUAUAUAAGGUGUCUUGGUACCCUUCAAAGCUGCAGUUAUAGAAUGCAGACAAAUCAGCUCCAUUUCUAACUGCCACCGCUUGCUGCUUAAUUGCUCCUGCUGUGUUCUGAAAUGUUAUGUUCACUGCAACAAAACCUUGCCCAACUACAGCAAACGUCGCAGAAUUAAAUGUAGUCCACCCAUCAACGACACUCCGGUUUCCAGUGAUGAUGGUCUGGUUAAUACCAUCACCGAUCAUCAUCAAGUAUUUCUUGUACUUUGGAAUGGAAACAUACUCGUUAUAAACCCCUGCAACCACGUAAAUCACAAAAUAUCCGUCACUGCUAGCUGUGUUAUUAGGUGCAGCAUUCACAGCGUCGGUAAUAGUAGCAAAAUCCCCAGGUCCAUAUGGAUUCACGACCACCAUUUUUCUCACUGAAACACCAUCUGUAAAUGCUUGAAGGAGUUUUCUUCCAAUUAUAGACUUGUACGUCUGUAAAGGCAAGCUUUUUCUUGCACCAACUUCCAUAUUGGGGAAUGUGUCUUUUCUUUCUGUUAGCAAUCUACCUUCCUCUGUGUUAGGAGCCCAAGCAUGUAGAAAAAGGGCGAGGGAGACACUACAAUACUGGGUUCCAUUAGAAAGAGGUGCAGAUAGGCUAUUCAAGAUAUUUGAAGCUGAUGCUGAGGAUUGAAGGCCUUCCAGGCAAGUUUCUAGGUUGGUCAAAGUGGCACUAAACAAUGUUAGUAGAUCAAAGGUAAUCGAGCCUGGAAGAUUGUUAUCAUUAGAAAUAUUUGUAGUUUCGAAUGCAUAUGACAAGAAUUCUAUGUUUAGCUGAGCUAAAAACAGGCAAUCUUCAAGGGCGAGAACGGUGGGUUCAUAGGAUAUAGAGGGUAGGUUCAAGUAAUGUAGGACGAGUGAAAGAAAGCUUCUUGCAUUCGUCAAGGAAUUGGAAAUAGAAACCUUAGCAUAGUCGUGGAUGGUUCCACGCUUGUUAUAUGGCAAAGAGGAUUUGCAAAAGGAUGGAUGAGGAGUGGAGUUACAAAGGGUUUCUGGAGUAUUGAAGAUUGGUAAAGAGUCUGCAAGGGAAAGGGAGAAGAAAAGCAUGAGAAGAAGGGAAAUGGUGCUUAGGGAAGAAAACUUAGAAGCCAUGGUCAUGGGAGUAGCUAAU